AUGUGGAUGGAUGGAGGUGCAGCGGAGGGUGAAGGAGUAGGAGCCGGAUCUGGCGGCUCCUCGCCACGCUUGAGGACCGGACCGCCUCUGUCACAAUUAACUACUUGGGAUUCUCCUUCGUUAGUGAAUGGGAGGAAGGAGAAGAUUCCCUCCGGCCUCCUAGUCCCCUUGGUGGCGCACCUCAAGGCAACCCAGGAGCAGAUUGCCAAGGGAGGCUACACCAUCCUCCUCCAGCCUAAUUUGGAUUCUGGAGGCCGGUGCACCAUUGUUCACCAAGGGCACCAUUCAGAGGUUCAUCGUCUACUUGUGAAUCGUUCGUCCAGCACAUCGGAGGUCCUGGAGCAGAUGACAACCAUUGAGUCCAAGAUACUGCAGCUCGAGGAGACCAUCGCCAUCCAGAGCAAUGAAAUCUUCACAAUAUCAGCAAAAAUUCUUCAGCAAUUAUUAUUUGUAGCUGAAAAUCCACUUCUGAUUAUGCAAUACAUCCUCUCCAGUCUCCACCUCUGCGUGUUGAUGUCAAAUCCCUUCUCCAAGGACAAAAAGGUCCAAGCAUUGGAUACUGUUACGGCUAGGUGUGUAGCCGCUGUGGAUAGCUUUGACCAAAAGCUUGAGCCUGGGAUUGAGGCGCAUCAGAGAAAAUUAGAACUAUUGAUGCAUGUUCAAGAAGACAGGAAAGUUGAGUAUGGACAGAUGAUGCAUGCACGUUCCAUGGUUUGCAUGCAUAAGUGGAAGGAGAAUCAAUCAUACCCAGGGAUUUACGUGGAUAGUAAUUUGAAGCAUCUAGCAAAGAGCACGUACAAGGAAAACUACUACUUUGCAUGCCCACGUCAACCAGAAAGAGAUAGAAAUCAGAAAGAAGUCCAUGGUUGCUACUACUUCGAAAGAGAUAUAAAGUUAGGAAUGUUUGAGUCGUCCAACUUGCAGGUUAAGAUAGGUCAUUUGUUAUUUAAGGUCUGGUCGGUGCAUCAUGUAAAGCAGAAAUUGUUUUUGCGCGUGAGUAUCAUCGUCGAGAUUGAUUUUCUCGUGUUGGGCCUGAGUCAGACUAUGGUUGAUGCUUUGAACCUGCCGUUGAUAGAACAUCCAGAACCGUAUGAGCUUUGGUGGAAGGACAAGUUUGUCAAGAUCAUGCAUCGCGUCGAGGGUGGACAAUUCGUACCACUUGAUUCUUACACAUUAGAGAAGUAUAUGGCUGAUCGCAAGAAGCGGGAUACUGCUCAAGCUGCAUUAGAAGUAAAGAAGAAGAAGGUUGAGGUUGCUGAAAUUUCCACUGUCGCUAUUCAGUCUAGAAAAAAAAUAUUGUUGAAGAGAUCAGCUCAAAAUCGAGGACGAUUUUGUUUCAAGAGGGAGAGGAUGAUAAAGCCACUGCUAACGUCGGUAUUUUCGAAACUUCGAAGAAGGUGUGUAGCCGCUGUGGAUAGCUUUGACCAAAAGCUUGAGCCUGGGAUUGAGGCGCAUCAGAGAAAAUUAGAACUAUUGAUGCAUGUUCAAGAAGACAGGAAAGUUGAGUAUGGACAGAUGAUGCAUGCACGUUCCAUGGUUUGCAUGCAUAAGUGGAAGGAGAAUCAAUCAUACCCAGGGAUUUACGUGGAUAGUAAUUUGAAGCAUCUAGCAAAGAGCACGUACAAGGAAAACUACUACUUUGCAUGCCCACGUCAACCAGAAAGAGAUAGAAAUCAGAAAGAAGUCCAUGGUUGCUACUACUUCGGAAGAGAUAUAAAGUUAGGAAUGUUUGAGUCGUCCAACUUGCAGGUCAAGAUAGGUCAUUUGUUAUUUAAGGUCUGGUCGGUGCAUCAUGUAAAGCAGAAAUUGUUUUUGCGCGUGAGUAUCAUCGUCGAGAUUGAUUUUCUCGUGCUGGGCCGUAAGGUUCAAACCCUCUAUUUUUCGUGCAUAUCGCGUGCACGGGUGAGAGGUUACUGCUGCUGA
This 1923-nucleotide ribosomal RNA is filed under the name Triticum aestivum (bread wheat). RNAcentral describes it as "partial small subunit ribosomal RNA". The record is from RNAcentral. Lineage: Eukaryota; Viridiplantae; Streptophyta; Magnoliopsida; Poales; Poaceae.